GCUGGGCAUAGUAGCGUGUGCCUGUAGUCCCAGCUACUGGGGAAGCUGAGGCGGGAGGAUCUCUUGAGCCCAGGGAGGUUAAGGCUGCAGUGAGCUGUGAUUAUACCACUGCACUCCAGCCUGAGUGACAAAGCGAGAUCCUGUCUCAA
Molecule: non-coding RNA, 149 nt
Filed under: Nomascus leucogenys (northern white-cheeked gibbon)
Lineage: Eukaryota; Metazoa; Chordata; Mammalia; Primates; Hylobatidae
Source: Rfam by way of RNAcentral